GACGAACGCUGGCGGUGUGCUUAACACAUGCAAGUCGUGCGACGAACCAGACUUCGGUCUGGGGCAAAGCGGCGAACGGGUGAGUAACACGUGGGUAAUCUGCCCCGAUGACUGGGACAACCCGAGGAAACUCGGGCUAAUACCGGAUGUGGUGCCUGGACUCAAGUCCGGUCACUAAAGGUAGCUUCGGCUUCCGCAUUGGGAGGGGCCCGCGGCCCAUUAGCUUGUUGGUGGGGUCAAGGCCUACCAAGGCAACGAUGGGUAGCUGGUCUGAGAGGACGAUCAGCCACACUGGGACUGAGACACGGCCCAGACUCCUACGGGAGGCAGCAGUGGGGAAUCUUGCGCAAUGCGCGAAAGCGUGACGCAGCAACACCGCGUGAGGGAAGACGGCCUUAGGGUUGUAAACCUCUUUCAGAUGGGACGAAGGUGAUGCGGUGAAUAGCCGAUGUCAUUGACGGUACCGUCAGAAGAAGCUCCGGCUAACU
RNAcentral lists this ribosomal RNA (488 nucleotides) under uncultured bacterium. Its description in RNAcentral is "bacterial SSU rRNA". It matches the Rfam family "Bacterial small subunit ribosomal RNA", at positions 28 to 502 of the family's 1533-position model. The record is from RNAcentral.